UACGUAGGUGGCGAGCGUUGUCCGGAUUUACUGGGCGUAAAGGGAGCGUAGGCGGAUUUUUGAGUGAGAUGUGAAAUACUCGGGCUCAACUUGAGUGCUGCAUUUCAAACUGGAAGUCUAGAGUGCAGGAGAGGAGAAUGGAAUUCCUAGUGUAGCGGUGAAAUGCGUAGAGAUUAGGAAGAACACCAGUGGCGAAGGCGAUUCUCUGGACUGUAACUGACGCUGAGGCUCGAAAGCGUGGGGAGCAAACAGG
Molecule: ribosomal RNA, 253 nt
Filed under: uncultured bacterium
Lineage: Bacteria
Description: partial 16S ribosomal RNA
Rfam family: Bacterial small subunit ribosomal RNA
Source: RNAcentral